Molecule: long non-coding RNA, 1724 nt
Organism: Neopelma chrysocephalum (saffron-crested tyrant-manakin)
Lineage: Eukaryota; Metazoa; Chordata; Aves; Passeriformes; Pipridae
Exons: 3
Source: RefSeq, a predicted model, not a curated record
CCCAGUUAACUGAGUGCUGAUCAGGAUUCACCACCUCCUCACUGCUCUCCUGAGGGUCUUAGCAAUUGCCACAGGCUAAUACUAAAGGGGGAGCAGGAGGGGGAAUAGGACAGAGACAGAUGAGACCAAAUAAAAGCCCAACCCACAACACACGUGUUGCUCUACCCCAAUAUGCUGCUUACAGCUUGAAGUGGUUUCCAGAAGUUGCUGCCAAACUAGUUCUUGAGCUAUCAGAAACUUUAAUCUAGUGCCUUGAAAAUACUGGAUGUGCUGUGACUAUUUCCCCUCUGCUUACUUCUCCCAUUUACUGUCCAAGAUUUCAUUACUCCCCAGAACACAGACCAAAGGAAGAGGCCCAAGAUCUGCUCCUCCCUCCACCCCCAAGCAGCUCGAUACCUGAUCAAUACACACACACACACUUCAGCACCAGGAGACAAGGACACUCAUAUUUCUCUAAAGGCAUCAGUUAUUCCUUGAGCCCUUCACUCUCAGUCACAGGCAGCAGAGCUAUGGAAGUUGUUUCCUACCUGCUGGAUAAACAUGCACCAAACCUUCUGAUCAAACACUGUGACUGCAGCUGCUGCUGGUGCACUGGGGUGGGGCAACUACUCCUACUCUUGGGGCAACCACCUACACUCAUCUGAGGAAAGUUCUGAAAACACAAUGCAGUUGGGAACACACAGCUGUGAAAUCCCUGCAUAAUCACAGGAACAGAUCACAUAAUAGAGCUGUUCCAGUUCAAGCCGUCAAGAGACUAGGAAAGGAAAAUAAGAGAAAGAAACGGCAAGCCCUGAAAAGGCUCGACCAUCAGCAAGAUUUUGCCUCCCCUUCUAAACUUUUAAUUCAAAUACAUUUCAGCAAAGCUUUUCAUUAUUCUCCAUUCUGCCAAUAGCUUCAGCUACAGAAAAGUUUUGGCGUGGGGAAGGCACAUUCAUAUUAAAACCAAGGCAUUACCCCUUAUGGCAGGUGGACUUUUCUUUCCCACUAGAAAGCCCCUGCAGAGGUUCAGGCUGCUCAGAGGAUGGGCAAUGGCCUUAUUCAUGUGCAGACAGGUUGGUGAAAACAGGUGGGACAGACCCAUCUCCAGCAGUGGCCAAAAGAGAGGGCCCAAGAGAUGCAGACACUUGGAAUUUCACCAGUCCCUGCCCUCAGGCACCCACCUUCUCAUUGGAGGAGAGCUCAGCAAGGGAAAGAAGAUAGAAGAAAAUAAGACACAUGGUUGAGGGGAAAGAAUCUGAGCAAUUCAAUUUUGCAAGCAGUCUGCAUACGGAAACUUGAAUAUCCAAUUAAGUUUGGCAAUAGCAUGGGGGCUUUACACAUAGCUGGAAUUAAUUCUUGUGCGUCUUCCUACAGAAUAUGAAGCAGCAUUGUAACUAAUUCUUGUCAGAUGGGAUACCAAAGCAUUCCCUAAACAAGAGAUUCUGGUAUAAAGCCAACAUGUAACAAAAAUAAAAUUACUGCACAAGUUCAGUAGCAGCUAUAAGUGCUUAGAUGGCACUUAUGUCCAUGAAUGAUUUUUUGCUGCUCUUGUUAAUUUAGAAGAACAUGAAACUCAUCCAAAACAGUAACUGGUGGUGUUCUCUAAAACCAAUUGAACUUACCAUGUUAAAAAAAGCAUCUUUUUAAAAGAUAAGACUUCUUACUGUACCCUUUAUUAUACCUUAUAAAGGUAUACAAAGCAGUGCAGUACUGGGGAUGACUACGUGUUCUUCUGAGGGCUGCAC